AGCCCGCUCAGAAACUACAAAUGAAUUGACGGGGCCCGCACAAGCGGUGGAGCAUGUGGUUUAAUUCGAUGAUACGCGAGGAACCUUACCUGGGCUCAAAUGUAUGUUGACGUAUUCUGAAAGGGAUACUUCUUCGGACAAUAUACAAGGUGCUGCAUGGUUGUCGUCAGCUCGUGCCGUGAGGUGUCGGGUUAAGUCCCAUAACGAGCACAACCCCUAUCAUUAGUUGCCAUCAGGUCAAGCUGGGGACUCUAAUGAAACUGCCUACGCAAGUAGUGAGGAAGGUGGGGAUGACGUCAAAUCAGCACGGCCCUUACGUCCAGGGCUACACACGUGCUACAAUGGCCGGUACAAAGGGCAGCUACCUGGUGACAGGAUGCUAAUCUCAAAAGCCGGUCUCAGUUCGGAUCGGAGUCUGUAACUCGACUUCAUGAAGCUGGAAUCGCUAGUAAUCGUGGAUCAGCCAAGCCGCGGUGAAUACGUUCCCGGGCCUU
RNAcentral lists this ribosomal RNA (494 nucleotides) under uncultured Sphingobacteriales bacterium. RNAcentral's name for it is "bacterial SSU rRNA". It matches the Rfam family "Bacterial small subunit ribosomal RNA", at positions 903 to 1382 of the family's 1533-position model. Lineage: Bacteria; Pseudomonadati; Bacteroidota; Sphingobacteriia; Sphingobacteriales. The record is from RNAcentral.